RNAcentral lists this ribosomal RNA (821 nucleotides) under Escherichia coli. RNAcentral describes it as "partial 23S ribosomal RNA". It matches the Rfam family "Bacterial large subunit ribosomal RNA", at positions 418 to 1239 of the family's 2925-position model. The record is from RNAcentral. Lineage: Bacteria; Pseudomonadati; Pseudomonadota; Gammaproteobacteria; Enterobacterales; Enterobacteriaceae.
CGGGACACGUGGUAUCCUGUCUGAAUAUGGGGGGACCAUCCUCCAAGGCUAAAUACUCCUGACUGACCGAUAGUGAACCAGUACCGUGAGGGAAAGGCGAAAAGAACCCCGGCGAGGGGAGUGAAAAAGAACCUGAAACCGUGUACGUACAAGCAGUGGGAGCACGCUUAGGCGUGUGACUGCGUACCUUUUGUAUAAUGGGUCAGCGACUUAUAUUCUGUAGCAAGGUUAACCGAAUAGGGGAGCCGAAGGGAAACCGAGUCUUAACUGGGCGUUAAGUUGCAGGGUAUAGACCCGAAACCCGGUGAUCUAGCCAUGGGCAGGUUGAAGGUUGGGUAACACUAACUGGAGGACCGAACCGACUAAUGUUGAAAAAUUAGCGGAUGACUUGUGGCUGGGGGUGAAAGGCCAAUCAAACCGGGAGAUAGCUGGUUCUCCCCGAAAGCUAUUUAGGUAGCGCCUCGUGAAUUCAUCUCCGGGGGUAGAGCACUGUUUCGGCAAGGGGGUCAUCCCGACUUACCAACCCGAUGCAAACUGCGAAUACCGGAGAAUGUUAUCACGGGAGACACACGGCGGGUGCUAACGUCCGUCGUGAAGAGGGAAACAACCCAGACCGCCAGCUAAGGUCCCAAAGUCAUGGUUAAGUGGGAAACGAUGUGGGAAGGCCCAGACAGCCAGGAUGUUGGCUUAGAAGCAGCCAUCAUUUAAAGAAAGCGUAAUAGCUCACUGGUCGAGUCGGCCUGCGCGGAAGAUGUAACGGGGCUAAACCAUGCACCGAAGCUGCGGCAGCGACGCUUAUGCGUUGUUGGGUAGGGGAGCGU